Molecule: long non-coding RNA, 1335 nt
Filed under: Brassica rapa (field mustard)
Lineage: Eukaryota; Viridiplantae; Streptophyta; Magnoliopsida; Brassicales; Brassicaceae
Description: long non-coding RNA (BRAP_LNC004668)
Source: RNAcentral
CCUAAAUUGGGAUUGCCUCGGUGGAUACACGUGUUCCCCGAGGCCCGAGCAUGCCAAAUCGACAUUUGCCUUCUAUUUGCAAACUCCAUCCAACUUGCUCAAUGCUUCUCUCAUUAUCCUAGUCACCUUAUCGGCCCUACCGGGACCACGUUACGCAUUCACAGUCCAUCAAUAUGACUAGAUACUAGAUCAUGGUUCAUUGGGAAGCUUAAAAAAUUAUGUAGAUUUGGCAUGAUGAACAUUAUACUUUACUUCCAUAUUUUUUGGCAUGAUGAACAUUAUACUUUACUUCCAUAUUUUUUUAAAUAAAAAAUGUACAGACUACAAAUAUUUUAAACACUUUCUGAGAAUGACAUAUAGAUCUUUUUUUUUCAAAAUCAAAAUUUAUUCAUACACAAAAUACGGUAUUCAUACAAAAACUAGCGACCACACGAAAUAACCCCACAACCAAAAAGCCUAUAGAAAGCGGUAGCUAAAAGCCUAAAACCCACACUGGAGCUACUCGAAUGACAUAUUGAUCUAAAUUCCGCGUUCUAUGACCAACAAAACAAAUGUUCAUCAUAUUUAGUUUGGGAUAACAUAUAACUGCCAGCUACCGGCAAGAAAUUAUCUCAAGUGUCAAUAAUGAUACAACAAUAAAACACAAAUCAUUAGCUUGUUUUGGUAACAUAAAGACUAAAAAGAAAUUGGACUUUAUGACAAACAAAACUGUUAUAGUUCACCAUCUAACCAAUAUGAUAACGUAGUUAUAAUAUUUUCUGUGUAGUAUGUAUAAUGACAAUAUAUACCUUCAUACCGACGCUUUACUGAAGCGAUCGAGUGUUUGAGUUAAAAAGAUGAGUUGUGUAAAAUUAAGUUCCACAAUAAAUGUUAACAACUCUGAUUUAUCUUUCAAAAAGAAAAGAGAAUUAUCGCAACUCUGAAAAUCAGAUUCACUAGAGUAAAAAAACUGGGCUUCAGAAUCGAAAUCGAUGAGGAAGGAGAUGCAGACUUACAUCAGUGGAACAAUAGGAGAAGAAAUUCGGGAAACAAAAUUAAGGUAUUUCAGGCCCGUUGGUGAGGAAGAAAUGAUGGUGGUCUCGAAAAUGGUAAAGUUAGCGUAACCUAAUCUUAAUAUGUAUUGUAGUUGCAGUUAUGGGGGGUGAGAUAUAAACGAGGGAUGAUGAGUGUGUGUUGCCUAUCGGAAAGGCGGAGAAGAUGUAAAUGAAAGUUUGCCAACUAUACCAUGUUCGACUAUUGGAGACAAGAUUCCACAUCGGAAAUAUGAAAAAGACUUGAAUAAUAUAUAAGGGACUUGGGUCAAUCCACUAAUUGCCAAUUGGUUUUAAGUUGGAA